GACGAACGCUGGCGGCGUGCUUAACACAUGCAAGUCGAACGGAAAGGCCCUGCUUUUGUGGGGUGCUCGAGUGGCGAACGGGUGAGUAACACGUGAGUAACCUGCCCUUGACUCUGGGAUAACUUCAGGAAACUGGGGCUAAUACCGGAUAGGAGCUCCUGCUGCAUGGUGGGGGUUGGAAAGUUUCGGCGGUGGGGGCUGGACUCGCGGCUUAUCAGCUUGUUGGUGGGGUAGUGGCUUACCAAGGCUUUGACGGGUAGCCGGCCUGAGAGGGUGACCGGCCACAUUGGGACUGAGGUACGGCCCAGACUCCUACGUGAGGCAGCGGUGGGGAAUAUUGCGCAAUGGGCGGAAGCCUGAUGCAGCAACGCCGCGUGCGGGAUGACGGCCUUCGAGUUGUAAACCGCUUUCGCCUGUGACGAAGCGGGAGUGACGGUAAUGGGUAAAGAAGCACCGGCUAACUACGUG
RNAcentral lists this ribosomal RNA (468 nucleotides) under uncultured bacterium. RNAcentral describes it as "partial 16S ribosomal RNA". It matches the Rfam family "Bacterial small subunit ribosomal RNA", at positions 28 to 507 of the family's 1533-position model. The record is from RNAcentral.